Molecule: unclassified non-coding RNA, 1658 nt
Filed under: uncultured fungus
Lineage: Eukaryota; Fungi
Description: sequence contains 18S rRNA gene, ITS1, 5.8S rRNA gene, ITS2, 28S rRNA gene
Rfam family: Eukaryotic large subunit ribosomal RNA (bases 546-1658)
Source: RNAcentral
GGAAGGAUCAUUAACACUUUAUAUUAAAUCCUUCUUAAUGCCUUUGUUGAACCUGUGAUUCGUCUGUUUUUACAAUCUUUUAAAACAUUUUUAUAAUUUUUGUUUAAAAACCAAUAUAGAUUUAUCUAUAUACAUUUAACAAAAAACAACUGCUAGCAUUGGAUGUCUUGGUUCUCGCAACGAUGAAGAACGCAGCGAAAUGCGAUAAGUAAUGUGAAUCGUAGAAUUCAGUGAAUCAUCAAAUCUUUGAACGCAUAUGGCGCUUCUGGGAAUUCCCAGGAGCAUACCUGUUUGAGAAUCAUCACUUUACCUCAUUCCUAAUUCAUUUUUAGGAAUGGUAAUUGAGCGCUUCAUUUAGGGGGACUUGUUUCUCUUAAAUGUCACUCUAAGUGCAUCUAAAACUCUUUCAAGAAGUGAGUACUUCAUUUUUUUAGAAUGGCUUGCUAAGGUUGAGCUUCUCAGCCCCUUGCUAUUCUUUCAAAACAGAAAUGAUCAAUUCUUGUCUUCUGAAACUGUUUGGUCAUAAAUCCAAAAAUAACAAACCAUGAUCUCAAAUCAGGCAAGACUACCCGCUGAAUUUAAGCAUAUCAUUAAGCGGAGGAAAAGAAACUAACAAGGAUUCCCCCAGUAACGGCGAGUGAAGCGGGAAUAGCUCAAUCUUAAAAUCGAAGGGUUACGCUCUUCGAGUUGUAGAGUAUAGAGGCGUCUUCGGGGGAGUGCGCAGGUAUAAGUCCCUUGGAAAAGGGCGUCAUAGAGGGUGACAAUCCCGUUCAUGACUUGCGCAUUUUUUCCAUAUGAGGCGCUUUCGAAGAGUCGAGUUGUUUGGGAAUGCAGCUCUAAACGGGUGGUAAAUUUCAUCUAAAGCUAAAUAUUGGCGAGAGACCGAUAGCGAACAAGUACCGUGAGGGAAAGAUGAAAAGAACUUUGAAAAGAGAGUUAAAAGGGCCUGAAAUUGUUAGCAGGGAAGCGAUUAAAACUGGGCAUACGCCUUGGGAUUCGGUUUGGCUUCUGGAGGUGCCGGUGUGCUUAGCGAUCGCAAGACCUAGGUAUACCGUAGUUCUUUAGUGCCUUUCUUAUUUUCUCAGGGUGUGCGUCAGCAUCAGUUAGGAUUUCGGGAAAUGGCCUUUGGGAAGGUAGGCAGGCCUUUCGGGGUUUGCUGUUAUAGCCUAAGGGUAGCCCUGUUGACUUGACUGAGGAAAUGCAGUGCGCGCCAUGCUUGAGGUCUAUCUUUUGGGCUGUGGCACUCUUUAGGACAGCCUCGCUGUGCUUUGGGUGUCAUGGUCUACGAGGGUGGCACUUUUCAUACGCGUGCCCCAGAUGCUGACAUAACGGUUUUAACCGACCCGUCUUGAAACACGGACCAAGGAGUCUAACAUAUAUGCGAGUAUUUGGGUGGCAAUCCCAAGUGCGGAAUGAAAGUAAAAGGUGCGAGCUAGCGGGUGUACCGCCAGUGCAGCAUCGACCGGUCUGGAGGUUUUCUGAAAGAUUUGAGUAAGAGCAUAUCUGUUGGGACCCGAAGAUGGUGAACUAUGCCUGAACAGGAUGAAGCCAGAGGAAACUCUGGUGGAGGUCCGUAGCGGUUCUGACGUGCAAAUCGAUCGUCAAAUUUGGGUAUAGGGGCGAAAGACUAAUCGAACCAUCUAGUAGCUGGUUCCCUC